AGGGACCCACCAGGAGUGGAGCCUGCGGCUUAAUUUGACUCAACACGGGGAAACUCACCCGGCCCGGACACCGAAAGGAUUGACAGAUUGAUAGCUUUUUCUUGAUUCGGUGGAUGGUGGUGCAUGGCCGUUCUUUUUCGUGGACCGAUUUGUCUGGUUUAUUCCGAUAACGAGACAGACUCUAGCCUACUAAAUAACUCGGAUCUUGUUUCUGUGCCUACGUCUUUGUAGGGGGACCAACGGAGGACACCCUCCGAAAACUAACAAAAACGAAGUCUGAAAACCCCUUACAAGCGCGGGGCCCAAUGCCGACUAGGGUGGACUUCUCUCGAUCGUUGUCCCUUCUGCACCGGUCCGAGACAAAACCUGAACAUAAGUUUGUCCUUGGCGAGCAGCGCCCGUCAACUUUCCUGCUUUGAAGAGUUCUUACUAUGCUUGCGACUACAGUGAACUUGCCCGAUCUCCCUGCGCCAAGUCCCCACAUCCCGUCCAGGGAUACCUCGGUCGACGGCUCCACGA
RNAcentral lists this ribosomal RNA (519 nucleotides) under uncultured eukaryote. RNAcentral's name for it is "bacterial SSU rRNA". The stretch from base 19 to 315 matches the Rfam family "Eukaryotic small subunit ribosomal RNA", at positions 1179 to 1500 of the family's 1831-position model. The record is from RNAcentral.